AACGAACGCUGGCGGCAUGCCUAACACAUGCAAGUCGAACGAGACCUCCGGGUCUAGUGGCGCACGGGUGCGUAACGCGUGGGAACAUGCCCUUAGGUUCGGAAUAACUCCCCGACAGGGGUGCUAAUACCGGAUAAUGUCUUCGGACCAAAGAUUUAUCGCCUUUGGAUGGGCCCGCGUUGGAUUAGCUAGUUGGUAGGGUAAAAGCCUACCAAGGCGACGAUCCAUAGCUGGUCUGAGAGGAUGAUCAGCCACACUGGGACUGAGACACGGCCCAGACUCCUACGGGAGGCAGCAGUGGGGAAUAUUGGACAAUGGGCGAAAGCCUGAUCCAGCAAUGCCGCGUGAGUGAUGAAGGCCUUAGGGUUGUAAAGCUCUUUUAACCGGGAUGAUAAUGACAGUACCGGGAGAAUAAGCUCCGGCUAACUCCGUG
This 433-nucleotide ribosomal RNA is filed under the name uncultured bacterium. Its description in RNAcentral is "partial 16S ribosomal RNA". It matches the Rfam family "Bacterial small subunit ribosomal RNA", at positions 29 to 507 of the family's 1533-position model. The record is from RNAcentral.